RNAcentral lists this ribosomal RNA (640 nucleotides) under uncultured bacterium. RNAcentral's name for it is "bacterial SSU rRNA". It matches the Rfam family "Bacterial small subunit ribosomal RNA", at positions 61 to 716 of the family's 1533-position model. The record is from RNAcentral.
GUCGAACGAAGAAGUUUUAGUUUACUAGAACAACUGAGUGGCGGACGGGUGAGUAACGCGUGGGUAACCUGCCCUAUGGAGGGGGACAACAGUGGGAAACUGCUGCUAAUACCGCAUACCUUAUUAAGAUUGCAUGGUCAUAAUAAGAAAGAGUUAUCGCCAUAGGAUGGGCCCGCGUCUGAUUAGCCAGUUGGUAGGGUAACGGCCUACCAAAGCAACGAUCAGUAGCCGGCCUGAGAGGGUGAACGGCCACAUUGGGACUGAGACACGGCCCAGACUCCUACGGGAGGCAGCAGUGGGGAAUAUUGCACAAUGGGGGAAACCCUGAUGCAGCGACGCCGCGUGAGUGAAGAAGUAUUUCGGUAUGUAAAGCUCUGUCAGCAGGGAAGAAAAUGACGGUACCUGACCAAGAAGCCCCGGCUAACUACGUGCCAGCAGCCGCGGUAAUACGUAGGGGGCAAGCGUUAUCCGGAUUUACUGGGUGUAAAGGGAGCGUAGACGGCAGGGCAAGUCUGGAGUGAAAGGCGGGGGCUCAACCCCCGGACUGCUCUGGAAACUGCCAGGCUGGAGUGCAGGAGAGGUAAGUGGAAUUCCUAGUGUAGCGGUGAAAUGCGUAGAUAUUAGGAGGAACACCAGUGGC